Molecule: ribosomal RNA, 533 nt
Filed under: Vittaforma corneae
Lineage: Eukaryota; Fungi; Microsporidia; Nosematidae
Description: SSU rRNA
Rfam family: Microsporidia small subunit ribosomal RNA
Source: RNAcentral
UUAAGCCAUGCAUGUUUCCGCAAUCAGGGACGAAUAGCUCAGUAAAACUGCGAUGAUUUAGUCUGGCUGUGUAGAUAACUACGUGAAAAUGUAGCUAAGGGAAGGCAGAAUAAGACGCAGGACUAUCAGUUAGUUGGUAGUGUAAUGGACUACCAAGACAGUGACGGUUGACGGGAAAUUAGGGUUUUGUACCGGAGAGGGAGCCUGAGAGAUUGCUCCCACGUCCAAGGACGGCAGCAGGCGCGAAAAUUGCCCACUCUUUGCAGGAGGCAGUUAUGAGACGUGAAGAUGAGUAUCUUGUAAAGAGGGAUAGGAGAAUUGGAGGGCAAGUUUGGUGCCAGCAGCCGCGGUAAUACCGACUCCAAGAGUGUGUAUGAGAGAUGCUGCAGUUAAAAAGUCCGUAGUCAUAGAAGGGCAAAGAGAGAUGCGAGGUCUCACAGUGCGAUGAUGGAGGAGCCGAUGGGGAACAUAGUAUACCAGGGCGAGAGAUGAAAUGCCCAGACCCCUGGUGGACUGAGCGAGGCGAAGGCGAU